UGGGGAAUAUUGCACAAUGGGGGAAACCCUGAUGCAGCGACGCCGCGUGAGCGAAGAAGGCUUUCGAGUCGUAAAGCUCUGUCCUAUGAGAAGAUAAUGACGGUAUCAUAGGAGGAAGCCCUGGCUAAAUACGUGCCAGCAGCCGCGGUAAUACGUAUGGGGCGAGCGUUGUCCGGAAUUAUUGGGCGUAAAGGGUACGUAGGUGGUUUUUUAAGUCAGGUGUCAAAGCGUGGAGCUUAACUCCAUUAAGCACUUGAAACUGAAAGACUUGAGUGAAGGAGAGGAAAGUGGAAUUCCUAGUGUAGCGGUGAAAUGCGUAGAUAUUAGGAGGAAUACCGGUGGCGAAGGCGACUUUCUGGACUUUUACUGACGCUCAGGUACGAAAGCGUGGGGAACAAACAGG
Molecule: ribosomal RNA, 403 nt
Filed under: Verrucomicrobiota bacterium
Lineage: Bacteria; Pseudomonadati; Verrucomicrobiota
Description: Verrucomicrobia bacterium partial 16S ribosomal RNA
Rfam family: Bacterial small subunit ribosomal RNA
Source: RNAcentral